CCUACGCUGCUUCAAGUGUUCCAAAGUUAGAACAUCCCAACAUGAGAUGUACUUUGUUUCCAACUUCAACAGAAAUCCUUAACAGAAAUCUGUGUAAGACGCAGAAAGGCGGGAAGGCCCACAUGCUGUGAUAACCAUUAAGCAGACUUCCCUGGAGCCAGUUGUCAUUCUGGGUGGUGAGGUCAGUCACACAGAGGUCAAAACAAAUUCUACGACGUCACAAUGGCUUUAGCUUCUGCGUGUGGGAAUUUCUCUGUCUCUCUCUCUCUUUCAUAUAUGCAAGCAGACCCGGAUGUCCCACAUUUCCUUUCUGGAAAGGGAUUCACGCGGACGUAGAAAGUUUUGCCCACAGAUGCCACCAUUCACCAUGAAAGUGAAUAUAUUACAAUGAAGUAUGUUAAAAGUGUGGUCUAGGUGUCACUUGAACCCAGGCAGUAUAACAAAGCAGUUGAGAAUCCGGGCUCUGGAGUCAAACUGUCUGCUUGCCUGGAGACUAAACAUCUUCUAGGGCUGAGAAGGGCUGCCCGCCACAGGGGACACACGCUCUCCAGGUGCCACAGUCAGGGCCAUACGCACGGUGGACCAGGACCAAUCGCCAUUUAUCAUUACAUGGACACUAUCUUUCUUAGAAGUGUGUUAGGAGAAACGUCAACCAUUUCUUCUAUCUAAGUCUGUACCAACACUGGGAAGAGAAAGGUAGAACGAGAGAGCCAACAAAAACAGGAACGAGCCUUUUUUCUGUGGGUAGAAAGAACGCUCCUCCAGGUUGUGCCCAUGAGGAAAGAAUACAAUCUAAUCCACUGUUGUGAAGACACCAUUUCUUUCAUUUUCAUCGCCUACUCAGGCCCUUCCAAGAGCUUGCAUUUGCCACCCUGGCUUGGUGUCUGCCUGUCCCAGAAUAUCUUCUUCAACACUCCUUGAAUGUUUUCACUGGUCUGCUAUGCUGCCUGAAAUGUGGAGAUUCAUUUGGGUUAAGAAGCAUUCCAUACUAAAGAUACAAAUCCCUCUGGGAAGGUACGGCAACAGCCUGGAUCAUAAUAAUUCCUCAUUGAUAAAGAUCAACUUGUACAAUCUGCCCUGAACGGUCAGGAAUAUUUAGCAUCUACAAGACUGUUACAAACAACUUUGCCUUUGAAGGGUGAUAGGGAGAAUCCCAAGAUCAAUGAUGUCAUUGUACUCUCUACGUGACAGCUGGGGGCUAACUAAGGGAGGUGACAUGACCAGCCACCUCACAGCAAAUUCUUGGGAAGGAUUGGGAGCUAAAGCUAUGAUAUGUACGUCUAUCAGGGAACUAUCUCCUUUCACUGAUUAAUGGGGCACAAGCAUCGGUGAGACUUAUAAUCUGAUCAGUUUUAACAACACACAAGAAGAAAAUAAUAGCACCAACAGGCUCAGUAAGAGGACAAACCUUUACAAACACCUCUUUGUUGAUUUUCUCAUGCUGCAAUAGUUAUGUGAAUUGCUAAGGGAAUAAUAACAACUAAUAUUAAUUGAUCAUCUACUAUGUGCCCCACGCUGAGCUAGUCACCCUACAUCAUCUCUGAACCUUACGGUAACACUCUUAGGGGGUUUUAUUAUCUCUGUUUUUCCUGAUGAACAGCUAAAGCUGAGACAAUUUCAGACUUACCUGAGGUCCCAUAGUCAGCAAGAAGCAGAGCCGAGACUCAUCCUCAGGGACAUCUGAUGUUGCUGUCCUAUGUGAGAGCAGCAGCUAGGGACUUUGGGUUUGGCGUUCUGAGAGGUACACCUAUGUCAGAAAUGACCAAACUGUAAAGAAGUUGUGGUGUUGUGGAUAACUUGAUAGGAGGGUGAGAUUUCCGUGAACAACAGAAUCAUAUUAUAGUAGUAAGGGAGAUGUUUUGGUAAUAUAAACAAUACAACAAAUGGAGGAGAAAAAUCUCUUCUACCUGACUAUACUACAAACCAUUUAUCAAAAAUCUUGCCUUUAAUAAAUGUUUUAGAAUAAGCUGUCUAUUCAGGAGGCCACCAUACUGUUUUCUGUCUAUGAGGUGGUAAGUAGAGCGGUUGAGACAACAUGCCUGAAACAAGACUGCCUCAGAUCAAACCCUGGUGGUGCCACUUCCUAGCUGUGACCUUGAACUAACUACUUAUGCUUAGUACCUACCCUACAGGGCUGCCAUGAGGGUUAAACCAUUAACCACACGUGAAGUUCUUAGAAAGCACCUGCUCAAUGGAAAGCACUUGGUCAAUAUUUGUCCAUACUGUGUGCAGAAUAGGGUAUGAAUGGUGUGAUGAAAUCGAAAGUGUGGUCCCCACUUUCAAGGAACUUAGAAACUAGCUGGGAAGAGAGAGCAUCUGCUGAUAAUAUGUCGCAGAAACAGGUACAACAUAAAAACGUCUCCUUUCAUCAAGGUAUACAUUGUUGUAUCAUAAUAAAAAUUAAGUAAAUAACAAUUAAGGAAAUAGAGGAAGUGAGCGGUGACCUGGAUUUUGAAGGAGUUGCUGGUUUACCACUACAAAAUUUUUAAUUAAAGACUUUUGUCAAGACUUGUCCAUUCUCAAUAUUGUCAAUCUUGAUUCGUUAUAUAUUUAAUGAUAACCUUCUCUGUGCAAGACACUGGGAUAGCGGUAACGAAGGACUACAGAUUUGAAAGAGCUCUUAUCCUCAAGGAACUUAUGGUCUGCUAUAAGACGUUAUAUAUUAAUAAAAUACAAGGUAG
This is a long non-coding RNA of Equus asinus (donkey), 2681 nucleotides long. The record is from Ensembl. NCBI's taxonomy places the organism in Eukaryota, Metazoa, Chordata, Mammalia, Perissodactyla, Equidae.